CGCUUCUGAUUAACCAGUCUGAUAUCAUUAGCAGCAAGGACAAACAAGCUAACUGUCCCAUUUUUUUCAUUAAAUUGUUGUUGACUUUAUAUAAUCGAUGAGACGAGUUCCCGAAGCUGCGCCAGCAGAGCGGAUAUUUCCAUCUGCUCCGCGGUGGCGUCCUGCCACUGCUGCGCCCCCAUUCCAAAUCCAUUCCCACCGUUAGCUUAACAGUACUUGACAGUGUGUGUGAGACUGAUCAAAAGCUUGGAAGACACUCAGCAGCCCGACAUUUCUGUGUUCUUCUGUGCAAGAGGUGCUUAGAUUGACACUAAAAUGAGAAAAGCUGGGUUAGGCAAUUUUUUUAGAACCAUUCUGGUAAUAUUUGGUGAAAUACUCUUUACGUUUAUCUAUCAGUAAAUCAAAUGCUCUGAGAAAAAGUCCAAUUUCUGUGGCUUCCUCUUGAUGCAGUCUGGUCUUCAGUGAAGGUUUACCCUUUAAAGGAGGGCUGGGAGCAGCCAAUACUGGUCCAGAUUUUCUCAAAAUUAAGGCCAACUGCUGUUGAACGACUGCUCAACCUUGGUCCAUCUUCAAAAUCUGAGCCAACAGCUGGAGAAGGACAGCUUGACCUUGCUACAGCUGACACUGCCACAUCAGCAGAGGGACCUGUUGAACAACUGUAGGCCCACAGUCCCCUGCAGCUGUUCAAUACACAUCUCAAGCUUACUAACCCGUGUCUUGAGUUCAGAGCAGGCCAAGCAGGAGGUAAUUUGGCGGGAUAAGGGUGAGGGAGUUUUGCAGUUUGGGGUUGAUGCAGCCUGUGGGCUGGGGAAGCUGGUGGAGGCAGAGCUGGUUUUGGGAGCACUGGGGAGGGAAGGGGGGUUCUGGAUUGGACCAUUCACCUGGUGCUUCACUCCCGCCAGGUCCAGUGUGUAAUAUGUGUGGUAUGCAGCGGCCUCUAACGGUGAGGUUCUAGAUUGAAGCGCUCCACCGCUCACCCCUCCCCUCCCUAAGACUUUGGAGAUGUUCCAGAAGCUACGGUGGCCUUCAAGGACAAGAAGCUGUUUGCUGAAGAUGUCAUCGUCCACGACAGCUUUGAGCCUUUCUAACAAGUCAAGUGACGAGAGUCAAGUGCUGAAGGUUAAAGAGAGAGGAAGGAGAGGAAGAGGUGCUGCUGCAGGCAGGGCCAGGCGAAGCAGGGGAAGAGGCUGGAAACCCUCCGAAGGGACCGAAAGAAAGCGACUGAGAGACUUCUUGAAGAGAUGACCUUGGAGGAGCACAGGCAGCUCACCAGUGAACUGCUUCAGAGGCAGCCAGGGUUAAUGUUUGAUGCCUUGAUGAUGCAUCAGUGCAGGCAUGGUGUCCCACCGUUUGCUGGAGUGCCAGGGGUACCAUGGUGUACUUGUAGUAACUGUACAGACAUGCCUACGGACCGGGAGAGGAAAUGCUGGGGCCAGUACCCUGCAGAUUGUGUAAUAAUAAUACUGUACUUCUCCCAGUACUGUCUUGAAGAUGCCUUUUUUGCAUUCACAGGCGGUACUGAGAGGACAUUAUGGUAUUAGGCCAAACGAGGAAACCUGGGGAUGACAACCAGGAGUACCAAUAUGCUGCCUGUAGACAUUUCAUCUGUUGACAGCAUGGCUCUUUAGGCCAGAGAAACCGACUUGUCAUCCCCAGUUGCUGUCACACUGGUUUCACACCUGGCCUCUGAGUUUCCCUCCAGGUCCUCUGGAACGUCCACAUAGUAUCUGAGGUACUCACACACCUGCCUGUUCAUCAUCAAGGCAUCAAAUCAUCUCAUAUUUAUCUGUUACAUUUGUGAAAGAAAACUGAAUAAUAGGUUAUAUACAUGUUUCAGAUAGUGUUUAAGUUCAGUUUAGUGUUAGUUUGUGUUUCACACAUGUUGCAUGUCUAUUCUAAACUUAGUUCUUAGCUGUGUAAGAUGAAGCAGUAGAGUGUUUAACAGUUAAGUUUAUUCUGUUGUACUUUUACCUGAGCCAGUGAUAAAAUAAACUAUAGUUAUGUAGAUGUU
Molecule: long non-coding RNA, 2011 nt
Organism: Thunnus maccoyii (southern bluefin tuna)
Lineage: Eukaryota; Metazoa; Chordata; Actinopteri; Scombriformes; Scombridae
Exons: 4
Source: RefSeq, a predicted model, not a curated record